GAUUGCAACUUUUUUACCAUUCGCAAUAAAAAAGAUACCAUACCUCUCUGCAAUCGCGGCUG
RNAcentral lists this non-coding RNA (62 nucleotides) under unclassified sequences. Its description in RNAcentral is "S4-Bacteroidia ribosomal protein leader". It matches the Rfam family "S4-Bacteroidia ribosomal protein leader". The record is from RNAcentral.